GCCCCCGUGGCCCAACUGGUAGAGGCACCCGGCUCAGACCCGGGACGGUGAUGGUUCGACUCCAUCCGGGGGUA
RNAcentral lists this transfer RNA (74 nucleotides) under Actinomycetota bacterium. RNAcentral's name for it is "Actinobacteria bacterium tRNA-Leu". It matches the Rfam family "tRNA". From Rfam's summary of the family: Transfer RNA (tRNA) molecules are approximately 80 nucleotides in length. Their secondary structure includes four short double-helical elements and three loops (D, anti-codon, and T loops). Lineage: Bacteria; Bacillati; Actinomycetota. The record is from RNAcentral.